Molecule: ribosomal RNA, 560 nt
Filed under: Clostridium botulinum C
Lineage: Bacteria; Bacillati; Bacillota; Clostridia; Eubacteriales; Clostridiaceae
Description: bacterial SSU rRNA
Rfam family: Bacterial small subunit ribosomal RNA
Source: RNAcentral
GACUUGACAUCUCCUGAAUUACUCUUAAUCGAGGAAGUCCCUUCGGGGACAGGAAGACAGGUGGUGCAUGGUUGUCGUCAGCUCGUGUCGUGAGAUGUUGGGUUAAGUCCCGCAACGAGCGCAACCCUUAUUGUUAGUUGCUACUAUUAAGUUAAGCACUCUAACGAGACUGCCGCGGUUAACGUGGAGGAAGGUGGGGAUGACGUCAAAUCAUCAUGCCCCUUAUGUCUAGGGCUACACACGUGCUACAAUGGCUGGUACAACGAGCAGCAAACCCGCGAGGGGGAGCAAAACUUGAAAGCCAGUCCCAGUUCGGAUUGUAGGCUGAAACUCGCCUACAUGAAGUUGGAGUUGCUAGUAAUCGCGAAUCAGCAUGUCGCGGUGAAUACGUUCCCGGGUCUUGUACACACCGCCCGUCACACCAUGAGCGCCGGUAACACCCGAAGCCCGUGAGGUAACCGUAAGGAGCCAGCGGUCGAAGGUGGGAUUGGUGAUUGGGGUGAAGUCGUAACAAGGUAGCCGUAGGAGAACCUGCGGCUGGAGCACCUCCUUUCUAGGGA